UUUGUACUCCCUUCGUCCCAAAAUUCUUGUCUUAAAUUUGUCUAAAUACGGAUGUAUGAAGUUACAUUUUAGUGUUAGAUACAUCCGUAUCUAAACAAAUGUAAGACAAGAAUUUUGGGAUGGAGGGAAUACUAC
Molecule: non-coding RNA, 135 nt
Organism: Triticum aestivum (bread wheat)
Lineage: Eukaryota; Viridiplantae; Streptophyta; Magnoliopsida; Poales; Poaceae
Source: Rfam